ACAACAUUCGGACCGUCGGUCUACCGAGCAAAUAUCACCCGUUCGAUGGAAGAUCGUUUAAUCAU
Molecule: microRNA precursor, 65 nt
Filed under: Bombyx mori (domestic silkworm)
Lineage: Eukaryota; Metazoa; Arthropoda; Insecta; Lepidoptera; Bombycidae
Description: mir-2774 microRNA precursor family
Rfam family: mir-2774 microRNA precursor family
Source: Rfam by way of RNAcentral